Molecule: ribosomal RNA, 253 nt
Filed under: uncultured bacterium
Lineage: Bacteria
Description: partial 16S ribosomal RNA
Rfam family: Bacterial small subunit ribosomal RNA
Source: RNAcentral
UACGUAGGGUGCAAGCGUUGAUCGGAAUUACUGGGCGUAAAGCGCGCGCAGGCGGCUUUGCAAGACAGAUGUGAAAUCCCCGGGCUUAACCUGGGAACUGCAUUUGUGACUGCAUGGCUGGAGUGCGGCAGAGGGGGAUGGAAUUCCGCGUGUAGCAGUGAAAUGCGUAGAUAUGCGGAGGAACACCGAUGGCGAAGGCAAUCCCCUGGGCCUGCACUGACGCUCAUGCACGAAAGCGUGGGGAGCAAACAGG